CUGCCAUGUUCCUCCACAGCCCGAUAAUAAAGACCGGUUGCAUUGUCUUCAUCUAGAAAUAAUUUACUGUAUUUCUAUUCAGAUUACGUUGUACUCUCCAGCAUGAUUUUCUGCAUUCUUCUUUGGAUGAUAAUUGUUUGAGGACUUUCUCAUGUGAAAAGGAGAUUUAGCAUAGCAGGCCUGAGGCUGCUGUCCUAAAAACAACGUUCAUGGAAGGAAGAUGGAAAACCUGGCUUUCGGGGAGGGUUCUUACCAUUCCCAGAACUGACGUCCUACCUGUUCCUGGAUGCCUGGGUCAACUGCCUCAUUAUCAGUGGAAAGCAGAGUGUGGGUGGGAAAGAAGAGCUCUGAAAUCACUCGGACCUGACCCUGACCCCUGCUGCACUCCUGCUCUGUGCCUGAGAUGGUUCUAUUUCCUGUUAUCCUCUCAACACGUCUGCAGAGAAUGGACUGUUAUUCCUAUCUUACACAGGUGGAACUUGGGGCUCAGAAAAUGAAACAACUUUUCCACACUCCCAGGGUUGGGAAGCGGAGGUUCCUUAACUGAAACCUAUCUCUGUCUGCCUUGAAACCAAGUUUGCAGGUCUUAGUUGUUGAAGACAAAUGGAGGUACCUCACUUUUUGCAAUUAAGACCCCUUGUAUCUUUUUAAAUCCAUGCCCUGAGUUAACUUUGGCUCUUCCCUGUUCCUCACCUGCCAUAUCUGUCCUCUCUAUUCCACAGUUAUCUUCUUCCCUUUAUCCCUCCAGACUUGGCGUUAUCAAUAGGAAUAGUGAAAUAAGAGCUUUCAUCUACCUAUUGAUUAAAAGCCAGAUGGAGGUAGCAUCACAUGCUGAUUACAUAGCUUACUUACUGUUCAACCUCGGGCAAGUAGACUAUUUCAAUCCUCUUAAGCCUUAGAUUUUGUAUCUGUACUUUGGGUAAUGAAACUUACCUCACAGGGUUUUCAUAAGCAUUGACUGAAAUAAUAUAUGCAAAGUACUUAGCACAGGAACUGGUCAAUCAAUAUGGUCAGUACUGUUAAGCUCCAGGAUUUGAGCCUAUUCCCCAAACAUUACCAGUCAAUGGUACUGUUAGCCCCAUUUUACAGAUAAAGGAAUUGAAAUGCAGGGAGGCUAAGCCACAUGUUCAGUAGGAAGUAGGUGAUGGGGCAGAAAUACAAAGCUAGGCCCAAGGGGCUGUGCAGCCUCUGCUUUUCCCAUUAUAAGUCUCCUUGCUGGGUUUCUGAAGUAGUUUUGCAAAAGACCCAGCUCCUCUCCCUACUUUGCAAGAGCAUCUUGCUACAGUGUAAACCUAAUCUUACCAUCUGCUUGCUCUGUGGGCAUUGCUUGGCCUAAGGACUAAGUGAGUUACUUGGUUGAGUUGAUGCAAACUGAACUCUAAAUCUGGAACAAUGAUACUGUGUUGCACGUUUGUGUGGGGGGCAGGAGUGGGAGUGUAUAUGUCUGUGUAUAUGUCUGGAUGUACCCACCAGCAUUUACACAGAGAUACUUAGUCACACUGAAAAUAAAAAGAAACAUUUGCAAAGAUCAGAAAUCAAGUAAAAACGUACCGCUUGCCAUGCAAACCUACUGGACGCUGGGUCAGGAGCACACCUGUGCAGCCAAGUAGGGGCUUAGAAUAAGAGGGACUCGAGAUCUGAGCAUGACAAUCGGUAAUCCAGGCUCACUUUAGGGGCUGAACUUGUCCUUUAAAAGGCAGCAGAUAAACAUGGUGUCAAGGUUCAAGGCUGUGGAUGUUCUGCUCUCCCAAGGGAACAGAAGUAAGCAGAGGCGGCCCAAGACAAGAACUGGGAAAAACACAUCUUGACUCAAGGGCUAGAUCAGGAGCAUCCUUGUGAGAUGAGAAUCCAGCUGACAAUGUGGAACAUAGUUUUAAACUGGGGACUUAGAAGACUGCAUAUAAGGAAUGAUACUAAGAAUCAAAAAAAAAAAAAAAAAACAAAAAAAAAAAAAAAAACAAACAACUGCUGGAGAUGUCAUUGCAACCCAAAUUUAUAAAAUUGUAAAAAGAAAAAAAAAUGAAUGAAUAUUUGUUUGGAAGUGCGAUAAGAGGACCACAAAGGAAAAAUUCAACUAAAAUUCCGGAACUUUAUAUAAUAAUAAUAAUAAUAAAACAGAGAAAAAAUUAGGGCCAGCUGGGUAAGGAACCAAAGCCUUUACAAAUUCGGGGGGGGGGGGUCGGGAAUUAAACAUGGAUAAAAUUAAAUGGCAAUAGGACAACUCUAAGCUGGACAUGGUGUGUGUGUGUGUGUGUGUGUGUGUGUGUGAGAGAGAGAGAGAGAGAGAGAGAGCGCGCACUCAGAACUGGAAGAUAAGUGUGACAAACUCCCCCAGAAUAUGUGCAAGGGGACAAUUGUGACAGAUAUAAAAGAGAUUUUACGAGAUGUUGGGGACAGAUUGUGGUGUUCUAACAUGCCUCUCGUAUUUUUCCCCAGAACUAGAAAAUAGGUGGAGUGUCAAAUGUAGCAAUAUUCUAAGAGAACUUUUCAUUAUUUAAGACAGACAUGUUAAGUAAAAUAAAUUCACAUCUAGUAACAUUGUAGUAAAACUUCAAGACACCAAAGAUAAAAGCAGGCUCUUAAAAGUUACUAGACCAAGAAAUAAGUAUUACAUACAAAGAAAGAAUUCUACUGAUAGGAAACUUAAAAUAUAGGACUGUAGAAACUAGAUUACCAUCUUCAGAAUGUGGAGAAGAAAUAAAUAUCAACCUGGA
RNAcentral lists this long non-coding RNA (2714 nucleotides) under Callithrix jacchus (white-tufted-ear marmoset). RNAcentral's name for it is "lncRNA (ENSCJAG00000071591.1)". The record is from RNAcentral. Lineage: Eukaryota; Metazoa; Chordata; Mammalia; Primates; Cebidae.